AACGAACGCUGGCGGCAUGCCUAACACAUGCAAGUCGAACGAGACCUUCGGGUUUAGUGGCGCACGGGUGCGUAACGCGUGGGAACCUGCCCUUAGGUUCGGAAUAACUCCCCGAAUGGGGUGCUAAUACCGGAUAAUGUCUUCGGACCAAAGAUUUAUCGCAUUUGGAUGGGCCCGCGUUGGAUUAGCUAGUUGGUAGGGUAAAAGCCUACCAAGGCGACGAUCCAUAGCUGGUCUGAGAGGAUGAUCAGCCACACUGGGACUGAGACACGGCCCAGACUCCUACAGGAGGCAGCAGUGGGGAAUAUUGGACAGUGGGCGGAAGCCUGAUCCAGCAAUGCCGCGUGAGUGAUGAAGGCCUUAGGGUUGUAAAGCUCUUUUACCCGGGAUGAUAAUGACAGUACCGAGAGAAUAAGCUCCGGCUAACUCCGUG
RNAcentral lists this ribosomal RNA (433 nucleotides) under uncultured bacterium. RNAcentral's name for it is "partial 16S ribosomal RNA". It matches the Rfam family "Bacterial small subunit ribosomal RNA", at positions 29 to 507 of the family's 1533-position model. The record is from RNAcentral.